This 253-nucleotide ribosomal RNA is filed under the name uncultured bacterium. RNAcentral describes it as "partial 16S ribosomal RNA". It matches the Rfam family "Bacterial small subunit ribosomal RNA", at positions 524 to 776 of the family's 1533-position model. The record is from RNAcentral.
UACGUAGGGUGCAAGCGUUAAUCGGAAUUACUGGGCGUAAAGCGUGCGCAGGCGGUUUUGUAAGUCUGUCGUGAAAGCCCCGGGCUCAACCUGGGAAUUGCGUUGGAGACUGCAAGGCUAGAAUCUGGCAGAGGGGGGUAGAAUUCCACGUGUAGCAGUGAAAUGCGUAGAGAUGUGGAGGAACACCGAUGGCGAAGGCAGCCCCCUGGGAUAACACUGACGCUCAUGCACGAAAGCGUGGGGAGCAAACAGG